This 1034-nucleotide ribosomal RNA is filed under the name Kocuria palustris. RNAcentral describes it as "bacterial SSU rRNA". It matches the Rfam family "Bacterial small subunit ribosomal RNA", at positions 50 to 1088 of the family's 1533-position model. The record is from RNAcentral. Lineage: Bacteria; Bacillati; Actinomycetota; Actinomycetes; Micrococcales; Micrococcaceae.
UACACAUGGGCAAGGUCGAACGCUGAAGCACCAGCUUGCUGGUGUGGAUGAGUGGCGAACGGGUGAGUAAUACGUGAGUAACCUGCCCUUGACUCUGGGAUAAGCCCGGGAAACUGGGUCUAAUACUGGAUGCUACAUGUCACCGCAUGGUGGUGUGUGGAAAGGGUUUACUGGUCUUGGAUGGGCUCACGGCCUAUCAGCUUGUUGGUGAGGUAAUGGCUCACCAAGGCGACGACGGGUAGCCGGCCUGAGAGGGUGACCGGCCACACUGGGACUGAGACACGGCCCAGACUCCUACGGGAGGCAGCAGUGGGGAAUAUUGCACAAUGGGCGAAAGCCUGAUGCAGCGACGCCGCGUGAGGGAUGACGGCCUUCGGGUUGUAAACCUCUUUCAGCAGGGAAGAAGCCACAAGUGACGGUACCUGCAGAAGAAGCGCCGGCUAACUACGUGCCAGCAGCCGCGGUAAUACGUAGGGCGCAAGCGUUGUCCGGAAUUAUUGGGCGUAAAGAGCUCGUAGGCGGUUUGUCGCGUCUGCUGUGAAAGCCCGGGGCUUAACCCCGGGUGUGCAGUGGGUACGGGCAGACUAGAGUGCAGUAGGGGAGACUGGAAUUCCUGGUGUAGCGGUGGAAUGCGCAGAUAUCAGGAGGAACACCGAUGGCGAAGGCAGGUCUCUGGGCUGUUACUGACGCUGAGGAGCGAAAGCAUGGGGAGCGAACAGGAUUAGAUACCCUGGUAGUCCAUGCCGUAAACGUUGGGCACUAGGUGUGGGGGACAUUCCACGUUUUCCGCGCCGUAGCUAACGCAUUAAGUGCCCCGCCUGGGGAGUACGGCCGCAAGGCUAAAACUCAAAGGAAUUGACGGGGGCCCGCACAAGCGGCGGAGCAUGCGGAUUAAUUCGAUGCAACGCGAAGAACCUUACCAAGGCUUGACAUAUACCGGAUCGUUCCAGAGAUGGUUCUUCCCCUUUGGGGUCGGUAUACAGGUGGUGCAUGGUUGUCGUCAGCUCGUGUCGUGAGAUGUUGGGUUAAGUCCG